AAAAACAUAGCCUUUAGCCCUAAGAGUAUUAAAGGUCCUGCCUGCCCAGUGAACUAACGGCCGCGGUAUCCUAACCGUGCAAAGGUAGCGUAAUCACUUGUCUUUUAAAUAAAGACUCGUAUGAACGGCUAAAUGAGGAUGUAACUGUCUCUUUUAACUAACCAGUGAAACUGAUCUUCAAGUACAAAAGCUUGAAUAAAAUCACAAGACGAGAAGACCCUGUGGAGCUUAAAAUAGCACUAAGACAAGUAAAUUUUAAGUUGGGGCGACUUCGGAGCAAAACAAAACCUCCGAGCAUAGGGCCAAAGCCCAGCCAAGACCAACAAGUCAAACUGACCCAGUCUAACUGAUAAACGAACCAAGUUACCCCAGGGAUAACAGCGCCAUCUUCUUCAAGAGUUCUUAUCGACAAGAAGGUUUACGACCUCGAUGUUGGAUCAGGACACCCAAAUGGUGUAGCAGCUAUAAAGGUUCGUUUGUUCAACGAUUAACAGUCCUAC
RNAcentral lists this ribosomal RNA (500 nucleotides) under Panaspis breviceps. RNAcentral's name for it is "partial 16S ribosomal RNA". It matches the Rfam family "Bacterial large subunit ribosomal RNA", at positions 1809 to 2599 of the family's 2925-position model. The record is from RNAcentral. Lineage: Eukaryota; Metazoa; Chordata; Lepidosauria; Squamata; Scincidae.